Molecule: long non-coding RNA, 3545 nt
Filed under: Homo sapiens (human)
Lineage: Eukaryota; Metazoa; Chordata; Mammalia; Primates; Hominidae
Description: HSALNT0030611
Source: RNAcentral
UGUAACUACUUGUAUUUUUAGUGCUGAUGUUUAGUGCCAAAACUCUAGAUUAGUCCUGUCCAAUGGAAAUCUAAUGUGAGCCAUAUAUACCAUUUUAAAUUACAGGCACACCAAAAAAGUAAAAGUACACAUAUAAAACGAAUUUUAAUAAUAUAUUUAAUUUAACCUAGUAUAUCCAAUAUAUUAUUUCAACACAUAAUAUAAAGAUUAUUAAUGAGAUAGUUUUCAUUUUUAUGUUGUUUUUGAAAUUGGUUGUAUAUUUUAAACUUGCAGCAGAUGACAAUUUAAGUGCCCAACACCCACAUGUGAUUGGUGGCCACUAUAUUGCACAGUGGCCCUCCAGGGCUGGGACUUACAUGUAUUUGAAUGAAUUCUAUAUAUUUCCCCUCUUUUCCUGACUCUUCAGUGACAAUCCUAAGACCAUGCUAAUAACAGAAGACAGUAAUCCCUUUUCUUAGCCAAACAAUUUGGAAGCCAUGAUUUUCUUUGCAUAUCAUGAAAGUGACCAUGGUGUUGGAUAUUGUGGUAGAACUUUCAAGUAAAAAAGAACUGUCAUUCAACUGAAUUGGAAGCCUCCAAGACUGCUGAGCACCCCAUGUCUUCGAGUGCACCGAGGCUGGAGGAAUGCUACAGAGGGAAACUUGCUUUGGAAGAAGGUGGUCUUCAUAGCUUCCAAUGUCUCCUAUGCUCCCAUAAAUAAGAGCAGAAAACAGAGACUAUAAAACUUUUGGGUCUCUGAUUUUUCAGACUCUUUUCUUAUUAAUUCCAGCAUAUGCACCUACUGAUGAUGACUUCCUGAGUGACUGAUGUGUGCCAGGUCCUGUAGUUGUUAUAGUUAAAGAGAAUAAAAGAUCCUUCCAUUGCUAUGGUGAUAUUUUUGCCACUAACCAGUUACUCAUCACUCCCAGUUGGAACAUAGCUAAUAUCAUAGGCUUAUAAAAGUGGAAGCCUAUCAAAAAGUUUACCUUUAUUGUGCAAAGAGAAAAAUGUGCUUUGCUAGCAAAAGAAACUAUCAGCAGAGUAAACAGAAAACCUAAGAAUGGGAGAAAAUAUUUGCAAACUGUGCAUCUGAUAAAGGUCUAAUAUCCAGCAUCUAUAAGGAGCUUAAACAAAUUUUCAAGAAAAAUACAAACAACCCGAUUAAAAAGUGGACAAAGGACACAGGCACUUUUCAAAAAAAGACAUACAAGCAUAUGACAAAAAGCUCAAUAUCACUGAUCAUUAGAGAAAUGCAAAUCAAAGCCGCAAUGAGAUACUCAUCUCACACCAGUCAGAAUGGCUAUUAAUAAAAAGUCAAAAAAUAACAGAUGCUGGCAAGGUUGCAGAGAAAAGGGAACACUUAUACACUGUUGGUGGGAGUGCAAAUUAAUUCAUCCAUUGUGGAAAACUGUGUGGUGAUUCUUCAAAGAGAUAAAAACAGAACUACCAUUCGACCCAGCAAUCUCAUUACUGAGUAUUUACCCAAAAGAAUAUAAAUCAUUCUACCAUAAAGACAUAUGAUGUGAAUGUUCAUUGCAGCACUGUUCACAAUAGCAAAGACAUGGAAUCAACCUAAAUGCCCAUGAAUAUAGACUGGAUAAAGCAAAUGUGGUACAUAUACAUUGUGGCAUAAUCUGCAGCUCAAAAAGGAUGAUAUCAUGUUCCUUGCAGCAACAUGGAUGGAGUUGGAGGCCAUUGUCCUUAGCAAACUAACACAGGAACAGAAAACCAAAUACUGCUUGUUCUCUCUUAUAAGUGGGUGCUAAAUGAUGAGAACACACGGAUGCAUACAGACGGGAACAACAGACCCUGGGGCCUACUUGAGGGUAGAGUGUGGGAGGAGGGAAAGGAGCAGAAAAAGCAUCUAUUAGGUAUGAGGCUUAGUACCUGGGUGAUGAAAUAAUCUGUACAACAGCCCCCGUAACGUGAGUUUACCUAUAUAACAAACCUGCACAUUUACCCCUGAACCUAAAAUAGGCGUUAAAAAAAGUGCUUUGCAUUUGCGAGCAGUACAAUUUCUUUGAUAUUGUUUUGGAUCAAGCACCAGAUGUAUGCUUUUUUCCUCUGCUAGUUGCAAGAGGAUGUGCUAGAGAAGAUCACUAUGACCAUAUUCCCUGAUAAACUAUAAAAUUCAUGAGUGUGGGGACCAGAUUUUUCCCCAUAUUUUUAUGCUACAUUCCUGUACCAUUUUAUAAAAUAUAACAGUCAGUGCUGUUGUAAGAGACGGAAACUAGUAUUCCUUUCCCUGUAAGGAAUACUUGCAUCACUAGAGUAGUAUUAUAAUGUAGUUUAUUUAUAUGGAAAGGCACGCAGGAGAUUGCUGGAGAGCUCUUAUAUUGUAUUUGGAUUUGUGGCAGAAGUGUACUCCUAGGCCCCAGACUUACCCUGUGUCCUGGAUCUAUGAGUAUGGCUGGAGAGCCUGUGUGAGUAUCUCAGCCUCUGAGUUCCUUGAUGCAGAACAGACUCACCCAGGGCUCUCUCUCUAGAGAAGUCUUCAACCAUCCGUGAAAAGCAGCCUUCGGUUUAUAAGCUCUGAAGUCGCACAGCUUAACUCCAGUGUUACGGACUGAAUUGUCUUUACUCAAAAUUGAUACAUUGAAGCCCUAGCCCCCAGUGUAACUGUAUUUGGAGAUAAGGCCUUAAAGAGAUACUUAAAGAGGUCUUGUGGGUGGGCUGUCAUCUGAUAGAGCUGGUGUCCCUCGAAGAAGAGGAAGAAACACCAGAGAGGCACGCACGCAGGGGAAAGACCAUGUAAGGACACGGUGAAAACAUGGCCAUCUGCAAGCCGAGGAGAGAGGUCUCAAGAAAAACCAAACCUUCUGACAUCUUGAUCUUGGACUUCCAGCCUCCAGAACUGUAAGAAAUAAAUGUCCAUUGUUUCAGUCUCCCAGUUGGGUAUUUUGUUACGGCAUCCCUAGUAGACUACUACAUCUAGCAAGUAGGACAGUAGUUUGACAGUGUUGAAGAGAGUGUGGUAUGUUCACUGACAAAGUGUUCAUCUGUUUGAUUGCAGACCCUGUUUACCUCCCUUGUUGCAAUUUUACUGCAUCUAUAGCACAUAGAAAGAAAAACUGGGCUUGUGCUAGUCAUUCAGCUGGUGGACUCUCAGUCUAGCUGACAAUACUUUUGCAGCCCUGCCUUGGGCCCCUUCUGGUUCCUUUGGCUGCAGAAUACAAGUUAUACGGUUUCAUUAAUGUGUGCAAAGUACUGUUUGCUAGCCUAAGUGGCAGCAGGAGGCAGAGAUCCAGGGGAUACAGGCAUAAAGAUUAGAGGAAGGAUGUGACAGUGAAGUCAAGACAAAUGAUGCUGUUAGUAUAUGGGGGGACCAUGGCAGGUUAUGGGGUUUCACACAGAGACUGUGGAGUGAGACGGCUGAGGUUUGAAUCCUGAUCUACUAUGUUUUCGGUAGUGAUCCUGAGCAAGUUACUUAACCUGUGUGUGCCUCAGUCUCCUCCUCUGUGAAAAAGAUAUUAAUAGAGUUGUGAGGUUUAAGUGAGUUGUAUUAUGUAAAGUGGUUUCAGCAGUGCCUAAGAACUAGUAGAUGUUCUGUAAGCAUUAGUGAUGAU